GCAAGGUUAACCGUAUAGGGGAGCCGAAGGGAAACCGAGUCUUAACCGGGCGUUAAGUUGCAGGGUAUAGACCCGAAACCCGGUGAUCUAGCCAUGGGCAGGUUGAAGGUUGGGUAACACUAACUGGAGGACCGAACCGACUAAUGUUGAAAAAUUAGCGGAUGACCUGUGGCUGGGGGUGAAAGGCCAAUCAAACCGGGAGAUAGCUGGUUCUCCCCGAAAGCUAUUUAGGUAGCGCCUCGUGAAUUCAUCUCCGGGGGUAGAGCACUGUUUCGGCUAGGGGGCCAUCCCGGCUUACCAACCCGAUGCAAACUGCGAAUACCGGAGAAUGUUAUCACGGGAGACACACGGCGGGUGCUAACGUCCGUCGUGAAGAGGGAAACAACCCAGACCGCCAGCUAAGGUCCCAAAGUCAUGGUUAAGUGGGAAACGAUGUGGGAAGGCCCAGACAGCCAGGAUGUUGGCUUAGAAGCAGCCAUCAUUUAAAGAAAGCGUAAUAGCUCACUGGUCGAGUCGGCCUGCGCGGAAGAUGUAACGGGGCUAAACCAUGCACCGAAGCUGCGGCAGCGACGCUGAUGCGUUGUUGGGUAGGGGAGCGUUCUGUAAGCCUGCGAAGGUGGCCUGUGAGGGUUGCUGGAGGUAUCAGAAGUGCGAAUGCUGACAUAAGUAACGAUAAAGCGGGUGAAAAGCCCGCUCGCCGGAAGACCAAGGGUUCCUGUCCAACGUUAAUCGGGGCAGGGUGAGUCGACCCCUAAGGCGAGGCCGAAAGGCGUAGUCGAUGGGAAACGGGUUAAUAUUCCCGUACUUGGUGUUACUGCGAAGGGGGGACGGAGAAGGCUAUGUUGGCCGGGCGACGGUUGUCCCGGUUUAAGCGUGUAGGUGUGUGUUCCAGGUAAAUCCGGUUCACUUUAACACUGAGGCGUGACGACGAGGCACUACGGUGCUGAAGCAACAAAUGCCCUGCUUCCAGGAAAAGCCUCUAAGCAUCAGGUAACAUCAAAUCGUACCCCAAACCGACACAGGUGGUCAGGUAGAGAAUACCAAGGCGCUUGAGAGAACUCGGGUGAAGGAACUAGGCAAAAUGGUGCCGUAACUUCGGGAGAAGGCACGCUGACACGUAGGUGAAGUGAUUUACUCAUGGAGCUGAAGUCAGUCGAAGAUACCAGCUGGCUGCAACUGUUUAUUAAAAACACAGCACUGUGCAAACACGAAAGUGGACGUAUACGGUGUGACGCCUGCCCGGUGCCGGAAGGUUAAUUGAUGGGGUCAGCGCAAGCGAAGCUCCUGAUCGAAGCCCCGGUAAACGGCGGCCGUAACUAUAACGGUCCUAAGGUAGCGAAAUUCCUUGUCGGGUAAGUUCCGACCUGCACGAAUGGCGUAAUGAUGGCCAGGCUGUCUCCACCCGAGACUCAGUGAAAUUGAACUCGCUGUGAAGAUGCAGUGUACCCGCGGCAAGACGGAAAGACCCCGUGAACCUUUACUAUAGCUUGACACUGAACAUUGAGCCUUGAUGUGUAG
RNAcentral lists this ribosomal RNA (1518 nucleotides) under Salmonella enterica. Its description in RNAcentral is "partial 23S ribosomal RNA". It matches the Rfam family "Bacterial large subunit ribosomal RNA", at positions 640 to 2141 of the family's 2925-position model. The record is from RNAcentral. Lineage: Bacteria; Pseudomonadati; Pseudomonadota; Gammaproteobacteria; Enterobacterales; Enterobacteriaceae.